Molecule: long non-coding RNA, 304 nt
Organism: Prionailurus viverrinus (fishing cat)
Lineage: Eukaryota; Metazoa; Chordata; Mammalia; Carnivora; Felidae
Exons: 3
Source: RefSeq, a predicted model, not a curated record
CUCUACACAUGCCUUGAAUGCAAACAGUGCAUGUCCUCCUUGUGAGGGACAAGGAGUUAAUGAUUCUGUAGAAGACGGCACAUCUAAAGAAAGACCAGGUAUUCCAUAAGACUCGCUGGCUGGGAGGCACUUCAAGGCUAAGGGCUGAAAUCGGGAAUAUCUUCACACAUAUGGCUGGCAUUGGGACUUUUCACCAGAAUACCUCCAGGAAGCCCUUCCCCAUGGUCCAUUCUUCACAGCAUGGAGGCCUCGAGAGAGAGCAAGCACGAGCAGGGGAGGAGCAGAGAGAGGCGGGGAGAGAGAG